RNAcentral lists this ribosomal RNA (229 nucleotides) under uncultured bacterium. Its description in RNAcentral is "partial 16S ribosomal RNA". It matches the Rfam family "Bacterial small subunit ribosomal RNA", at positions 568 to 796 of the family's 1533-position model. The record is from RNAcentral.
UCCGUAGGCGGGUAAUUAAGUCAGAGGUGAAAUCCCACAGCUUAACUGUGGAACUGCCUUAGAUACUGGUUAUCUUGAGUUUUAGUGAAGUAGAUAGAAUGUGUAGUGUAGCGGUGAAAUGCAUAGAUAUUACACAGAAUACCGAUUGCGAAGGCAGUCUACUAACUAACAACUGACGCUAAUGGACGAAAGCGUGGGGAGCGAUCAGGAUUAGAUACCCUGGUAGUCC